RNAcentral lists this ribosomal RNA (850 nucleotides) under uncultured bacterium. RNAcentral's name for it is "bacterial SSU rRNA". It matches the Rfam family "Bacterial small subunit ribosomal RNA", at positions 45 to 893 of the family's 1533-position model. The record is from RNAcentral.
CGCAGCUAUCUGCAGUCGAGGGGCAGCGCAGUGUAGCAAUACAUGGGCGGCGACCGGCAAACGGGUGCGGAACACGUACGCAACCUUCCUUCAAGUGGAGCAUAGCUUUCGGAAACGAAAAUUAAUACUCCGUAAUAAUAUUGGGUGGCAUCACUUAAUAUUUAUAGAUCCGUCGCUUGAAGAUGGGCGUGCGCCUGAUUAGGUAGUUGGCGGGGUAAUGGCCCACCAAGCCUACGAUCAGUAACUGGUGUGAGAGCACGACCAGUCACACGGGCACUGAGACACGGGCCCGACUCCUACGGGAGGCAGCAGUAAGGAAUAUUGGUCAAUGGACGCAAGUCUGAACCAGCCAUGCCGCGUGGAGGAUGAAGGUCCUCUGGAUUGUAAACUUCUUUUAUCGGAGAAGAAACCCUCGAAUUCUUUUGGGGUUGACGGUACCCGAUGAAUAAGCACCGGCUAACUCCGUGCCAGCAGCCGCGGUAAUACGGAGGGUGCAAGCGUUAUCCGGAUUCACUGGGUUUAAAGGGUGCGUAGGUGGGCUGGUAAGUCAGUGGUGAAAUCUCCGGGCUUAACUCGGAAACUGCCGUUGAUACUAUCAGUCUUGAAUGUUGUGGAGGUAAGCGGAAUAUGUCAUGUAGCGGUGAAAUGCUUAGAUAUGACAUAGAACACCGAUAGCGAAGGCAGCUUGCUACACAAUAAUUGACACUGAGGCACGAAAGCGUGGGGAUCAAACAGGAUUAGAUACCCUGGUAGUCCACGCCCUAAACGAUGGAUACUCGACAUACGCGAUACACAGUGUGUGUCUGAGCGAAAGCAUUAAGUAUCCCACCUGGGAAGUACGACCGCAAGG